GCCCCUGUAGCUCAACGGCGGAGCAAGAUCCUUAUAAGGUCGAGGCUAUUGGUUCGACUCCAAUCAGGGGCA
Molecule: transfer RNA, 72 nt
Filed under: Candidatus Staskawiczbacteria bacterium
Lineage: Bacteria; Candidatus Staskawicziibacteriota
Description: tRNA-Ile
Rfam family: tRNA
About the family: Transfer RNA (tRNA) molecules are approximately 80 nucleotides in length. Their secondary structure includes four short double-helical elements and three loops (D, anti-codon, and T loops).
Source: RNAcentral